AAUGCUAAUCUCCGGGAACAAUAUCCAGCUCUGUACAAUAUUAUGCGUCACAAGGAUGAUACUAUUGCCAAGGUUUUAGAAUCAUUUCCGCCAAAUGUGACGUUCAGAAAGGAUUUAAUUGGACCUAGACUCCAAUCGUGGAACAUACUGCUCCAAUGGUUAACCACGGUACAGUUGUCACAAGGGUCCGAUAUCUUUCGUUGGAACCUACAUGGGAAUUGGCAGUUCUCAGUGGAGUCUAUAUAUAGAGCUCUGAUCCAGUCAGAUGUGCUAGUUGAUAAUAAUAAGAAGAUCUGA
This 297-nucleotide ribosomal RNA is filed under the name Triticum aestivum (bread wheat). RNAcentral's name for it is "partial small subunit ribosomal RNA". Lineage: Eukaryota; Viridiplantae; Streptophyta; Magnoliopsida; Poales; Poaceae. The record is from RNAcentral.